This is a long non-coding RNA of Folsomia candida, 366 nucleotides long. RefSeq lists it as uncharacterized. The transcript is spliced from 2 exons. The record is from RefSeq and is a predicted model, not a curated record. NCBI's taxonomy places the organism in Eukaryota, Metazoa, Arthropoda, Collembola, Entomobryomorpha, Isotomidae.
CUUGGACGUGGUCAAAUAUAAAGGAUUGUCGAUUGCACGACCACGCAGAUCAACUUUAUCCGUUUCAAUAAGUCGCAAAAUCAUGUCGGUAAAAUCCCAGGUAUUUUUUUCAGCAAUAAUUUGCUCCAUUUUGGCGGUCACGGUAAUCAACGCGGCAUCCAUGUCCAUUGAAGUGGAUGACUCCGUGGGAGCCAAGGAAGUCCAACGAUCCUGCGGUCCAGGAAUUGUGUCAUGUGUUCCAUUCACUAAUGUGUCGCAUUGUUGUGGUUUAUGCACUUAUUCGAUAUUCGGUUUCAUUUGCGCAUACAACCAGUAAUCUGGUUUUAAAUUUUGGUGAUGAAUAAAAAAGUGCAAAUUGUAAAAAUA